AACACGCCCCUGUAUGUGUGUAGCCGCUAACAGUGUGGGGCACGCCUGGGGCCGGGCCUGCUGCACGUAACCUCUGGUGCUGCCUGUGCUGAGCUCAGCUAGCCCCGGGGGUCCUGGGCUUGCCCCUGCCCCAGCCCCUGGCUGGAAGUGCAGCAGCCAGAGAUAGGGAUCAGCAUUUCCCAUGUAGGCUAAGUGCACCUGCAAUGUAGUUUUAGCCAUGUGGGUCCCAGCCCAGGAUAUUAGAGAAAGGAAGUAGGUGUGACCUGAUACAUAAGACAGGCUGCAGCAUACAGCCCCUGGGAUCUGCCCCUCCUACAUCCACUCACUCUCUUCUAGUAGGAGAAUUGUAUUUCAAAAGGCCAGGACUGAGCACUGGAAGCCAGCACAACGGAAGUCUCAUUUUUCAUAUGGAGUCAACAUGAGGAUGUGAAGAUAACUUGGAGCCCGGGCACCAGGGAGGGAAUCACAGGGGAUCAUCCUCACUCCGGGGACAAAAACAAUGAAUAUUGGGAACUAUAAGGAGAAAGACAUUUUUGUGAUCCAUUCAUUGAGGGAAGCCCUUGAAGAACAGUGUUGUUCAUGAAUACUUGGAUCCUAGUUGACAGAAAACCAACCAGCCUUGCAAGAGAUUGGAUCUGUUGCAGUACUUUAUUUAAAGGAAAGGUCACUAUCGAUAAAUGUAGACCAAGAUUUGCAUCUUAUGUUUUUGUUUUGUAUGUAACCUAUCAUUCCUAUUAUUUUUACUCACUAUCUCUUACAUCUUAAUAUUUGAUAAUAAACAUAUGAUUGCUUCA
Molecule: long non-coding RNA, 794 nt
Organism: Mauremys reevesii (Reeves's turtle)
Lineage: Eukaryota; Metazoa; Chordata; Testudines; Geoemydidae
Exons: 3
Source: RefSeq, a predicted model, not a curated record